Non-coding RNA from Danio rerio (zebrafish), 956 nucleotides. The record is from RefSeq and is a predicted model, not a curated record. Lineage: Eukaryota; Metazoa; Chordata; Actinopteri; Cypriniformes; Danionidae.
ACCCCAGAAGGCUGUCCCCUAUACUGUACUGUUUGAUUGUCAUGUUAGGCUAUAAGCGCUCUACAGGUGUGGCUUUAGUCAAUAAAGCUCCUGUACUUCAGGAAUGCUUUCAGAGACCCUUUCAGCUCCUCCAGGAGACAGCAGAAGCAGCUCUGACCAUCUUCAGCUCUCCACGAGAAGCACAGAAUCUGAUAUAAAGCAAGACAUCUCUGAGUGAUCUCCUCUGCCCUGGAAAUACAGAAGAAAUAAGCUCAUCCACACAUGUCAGGAUCCCCUGAAUGAGGAAGACACAGUGAAGGAGAACUGUGAGCUGAUAACUGAACACGUCUGUGAGAUCCAAGCAGAAGUGGAGAAGCUGAAACCAACACUGUACAAGCUGAAAACAUGACUGCUCCUGAGAAUAAACGAGCCUCGGCUAUCGCUCAUACUGUCUUUGCUGCUGCAGCCGUUCUCUCCACUAUUUCGGUUAUUGCACAAAUUAAAAAAGGAGCCUUUCUGACAGACCUGAAAAGGCACUAUAGAGAAGAAUCCAUAUGUGCGGGUGCAGCGGUUGUGAUUUUUGUGCUUUUCUUUGUGAUUGAUUUGAUUGUUCAGGUAAUUAUAGCACGGAUUGGCCAUGAUAAGGUGGACAACGCUGUGAGAGAGGUCAAAAACCAUUUUGAUGAGUACAAAGCAGCAUAUGACAAAUGUCAGGAGAACAGUGUGAUAAAACAACUGAAGAAUGAGGCAUAAGAAGAAAAAGACGAGUGAUAGAUCGAUUGAAUGUUUUUGUUAUACAUUUUAAAAAGUAUACAAGAAGAUGAACAGUAAACAGUGUGUCCUGUAUCCUACACUGAUCAUGUGUCUCUAUCUGAUGUGUUCAGACCAUCAAUAAAUCAAGUGUAUUCAGAUGUGUGGUGUUGUUAAAUGGUGUCUACACGUCUCUCUGAACUUGCCUGAAAUAAAUGACUCAUCAU